Molecule: ribosomal RNA, 655 nt
Filed under: uncultured cyanobacterium
Lineage: Bacteria; Bacillati; Cyanobacteriota
Description: bacterial SSU rRNA
Rfam family: Bacterial small subunit ribosomal RNA
Source: RNAcentral
ACGGGACUCUUCGGAGUUCAGUGGCGGACGGGUGAGUAACGCGUGAGAAUCUGCCUUCUGGUCGGGGACAACCACUGGAAACGGUGGCUAAUACCGGAUGUGCCGAAGGGUAAAAGAUUAAUUGCCAGAAGAGGAGCUCGCGUCUGAUUAGCUAGUUGGUAGGGUAAAAGCCUACCAAGGCAUCGAUCAGUAGCUGGUCUGAGAGGAUGACCAGCCACACUGGGACUGAGACACGGCCCAGACUCCUACGGGAGGCAGCAGUGGGGAAUUUUCCGCAAUGGGCGAAAGCCUGACGGAGCAAGACCGCGUGAGGGAGGAAGGCUCUUGGGUUGUAAACCUCUUUUCUCAGGGAAGAACACAAUGACGGUACCUGAGGAAUCAGCCUCGGCUAACUCCGUGCCAGCAGCCGCGGUAAUACGGAGGAGGCAAGCGUUAUCCGGAAUUAUUGGGCGUAAAGCGUCCGCAGGUGGCACUUCAAGUCUGUCGUCAAAGACUGGGGCUUAACCCUGGAAAGGCGGUGGAAACUGAAGCGCUAGAGUGCGGUAGGGGUAGAGGGAAUUCCCGGUGUAGCGGUGAAAUGCGUAGAGAUCGGGAAGAACAUCGGUGGCGAAAGCGCUCUACUGGACCGCAACUGACACUCAGGGACGAAAGCUAG